GGUGUAGUCGAAGGGAGUGCCAAGACCAUAGCCGUAGUUCAGGCCGUAGACACCGAUGCCGUGGCCGAGGGCGUAGCUUCCAGCGCCAUAGCCCAGGGUUCCAACACCAUACCCGUAGACUGGAGUGGUCUGGUAGGUAGCGAAGGCUGGGGCAGCGUGGGCAAUGGUGGCAACAGCUGGGGCGUGGUGGAUGGUGGUAGCGGCAACAGCUGGAGCGGCGUGGACGGCAGCGACAGCUGGGGCAGCGGCGUAGGUGGCGACAGCUGGAACAGCAGCCACAACUGGAGCAGCCUGGUGGAAGGUGGUGACACGGGACACAGCUGGGGCAGCGGCAACAGUGGCAACAGCUGGAGCAGCAGCAACAACUGGAGCAGACUGGUAAACUCGGGUGACAGCUGGGGCGGCAGCGACGACUGGAGCAGCCUGAGUGUAGGUGGUGAUGCGGGACACAGCCGGGGCAGCGGCGACAGCAGCGACGGCUGGGGCAGCAGCCACAACUGGAGCAGACUGGUACACCCUAGUGACAGCUGGGGCAGCAGCGACGACUGGAGCAGCCUGAG
Long non-coding RNA from Rhipicephalus sanguineus (brown dog tick), 560 nucleotides. RefSeq lists it as uncharacterized. The record is from RefSeq and is a predicted model, not a curated record. Lineage: Eukaryota; Metazoa; Arthropoda; Arachnida; Ixodida; Ixodidae. The transcript has 4 exons.